CCCUGUUUUUACAAAAACAUGUCUUAAUGAUUAAAAAUAUAUUAAGUCUGGCCUGCUCAAUGAUUUAUUAAAUAGCCGCAGUAUAUUAACUGUGCAAAGGUAGCAUAAUCAUUUGUCUUUUAAUUGAAGGCUUGUAUGAAUGGUUGGAUGAAAGAAUUACUUUCUUUAUAUUAUAAAUUUUAAUUUAAUAUUUUAGUUAAAAAGCUUAAAUAUAUAAGUGGGACGAGAAGACCCUGUAGAAUUUUAUUUAUGUAUAAUUUUAAUAGACUGGUUAUUAUUUAUUAAAUUAAAUAUUGUAAAUUUUGUUGGGGUGACAGCGGGAAUUUAAUAACUCUCAUAAUAUGAAUAUUACUUAUUUGUAUAUUAAAGAUCCUAUUUUAAGGAUAAUUAGAUUAAAUUACCUCAGGGAUAACAGCGUUAUUUCUUCGGAGAGUUCUUAUUGAUGAAGAAGUUUGCGACCUCGAUGUUGGAUUAAAAUUAGAGUUGAGUGCAGUGGCUUAAUUUCUAGGUCUGUUCGACCUUUAAAAUUUUACAUGAUCUGAGUUUCAACCGGGC
RNAcentral lists this ribosomal RNA (555 nucleotides) under Neottiglossa pusilla. RNAcentral's name for it is "partial large subunit ribosomal RNA". It matches the Rfam family "Bacterial large subunit ribosomal RNA", at positions 1798 to 2621 of the family's 2925-position model. Lineage: Eukaryota; Metazoa; Arthropoda; Insecta; Hemiptera; Pentatomidae. The record is from RNAcentral.